UGAUCUUGUCCCAUUUGUUCAUCAAAAAUAUGCGAUCGAGCGGAGAAAAUAAGAAUGGAAAGGGAAUCCCCGCAAAUUGACUGGCAUUUCUUUUAAAGAGCCGAUCUUGUUCUUGCGGCCGGUCAAUUCUUUUUCUGGAUCAACGAGCGCGCGAAGCUCUCGUUGGCCGGUCAGUCAACCGUGGUCAAUGGAAGCGUUGACGAGCUGCUGACGAGUCGGUGGCGUCACCGCUGGGCACUAGUGUGAAUGGAACCAUUUGGAUUGUGGGCUGUGAGUGCGCUGCUCCCGCGCGAGAGCUCUUUGGCGGUGCUUUGGCUUGCUUUGACUGAUCGAGCGCAUUGACUGGCUAACGAACCCAGCGCGGUGCCACCGUAAGCAUGAAUCAUUAUCGCCGCGCUGCCGAGAGAGAGAGAGAGAGAGAGAGAGAGAAAGAAAGAAUCAAAACAGAGCUCUCUUUAAGUUGCUAGAUAGAACUCACCUGGGAAGGAAGAGCUCGGAAACUUCUACACAUGUUGUCAGUCCGUGAUCCUGCCAGAAGAAACAAGAAAAAAAAAAAAGAUGUUAUAUCCUAUUAGCUCGCUCUCGAGGAUGGAACAAUAUACUCACCGGCUUAACAGUGCUCGACGAAAUCAUUGCCGAAGAAAAAAGGAUGGCGCACUCCUGUUUUUUGCAGUGGUUGUGUUGCUUGUUCUCUCGCUCGCUCUCGUUCUAGACCCGUCCGUGACCGAAUCCGGGGCCAGCUUUUUUAAGAAAAGCAAGCCAGCUGCAUGAAGAGGCAUGGUACGUCGGGAGCAAUAGAAAGGAAAAAAAAAAAAACGGGGAAAAAAGAGUGUACCUAUUAGCGGUACAAUCCGUCGGUUGGAUUCCCCAUCUUUGCAGAGAUUCGAAGCAGCCGAAGUCGAACGUUUGUGCUGCUGGCUUUUCUAUUUUAUUACUUUCUUGCGGCCAAGGCUGUUCCAUCAUCAUGCCCCGCUUUUGAGAGGAUUUCGGAAUCCUUCGCGCUGAUCAACGUUUACUUGUCAAUGGCCUCUCCAAAAGAAGUUGAGAAUCAAAUCGCAAACAAAAGCUUUCUUUCCUCUCCCCUUUUUCUUUUUGUUGGUACCUCGAGCGAAAGCUGUUGCAAGCACCUUCACCUCGUUUCCUUGAAGCUGCUUCCUCCUGCAAGUGGCCUUAUUGUGCUGUAAUCGGAGAACCAAGUGAGUCUUCCUUAAAGUAGUGAUGCAGCUUCGUCUGUUUUUGUCAAUUUCCCUGUUGGAGUCGUAAAGGCUGGAUGGCGCUGCACAAAACGUGGUCGCUCGAUAUCAAGAUAUCUCGAUAAUCAAAGAAACUUCUUUUACCAGAAUUUGAGACUCUGAAGCUCCCUCCAAGCAUCCAUCUCCAUGACCGUGACCAGUGGAUGCAUCGUCGAUUUGACGACUUUUAGAACGCUUGAAAAGCUGGGAAGGAAAAAGUGUUAAGGAAGUAUUAUUCUUGAAACGUAAUGUCACCGUCCGGCGUUCUCCAAAAGCUGCUGAGAGCCCAUCGUCUAGGCAACGUCGUUGUCUUGUUGCGUUCUAAAAGUCUGGACAUAUAAAGUUAAGUGUUGAAA
RNAcentral lists this long non-coding RNA (1588 nucleotides) under Selaginella moellendorffii. RNAcentral's name for it is "long non-coding RNA (SMOE_LNC000800)". The record is from RNAcentral. Lineage: Eukaryota; Viridiplantae; Streptophyta; Lycopodiopsida; Selaginellales; Selaginellaceae.